UAAAAAAAAGAGACUUCGAGUGAACAUGUCGACUUUCGAAUAAACGAAAGGCUUUGCCGAUUCUUGUUUUUUUUUUUUCUUUUUUUUUUUUUUUU
Molecule: non-coding RNA, 95 nt
Filed under: Ctenophora environmental sample
Lineage: Eukaryota; Metazoa; Ctenophora
Source: RNAcentral